RNAcentral lists this ribosomal RNA (253 nucleotides) under uncultured bacterium. RNAcentral describes it as "partial 16S ribosomal RNA". It matches the Rfam family "Bacterial small subunit ribosomal RNA", at positions 524 to 776 of the family's 1533-position model. The record is from RNAcentral.
UACGAAGGGAGCUAGCGUUGCUCGGAAUCACUGGGCGUAAAGGGCGCGUAGGCGGAUCUUUAAGUCGGGGGUGAAAGCCCAGGGCUCAACCCUGGAAUUGCCUUCGAUACUGGAGAUCUUGAGACCGGAAGAGGUAAGUGGAACUGCGAGUGUAGAGGUGAAAUUCGUAGAUAUUCGCAAGAACACCAGUGGCGAAGGCGGCUUACUGGUCCGGUUCUGACGCUGAGGCGCGAAAGCGUGGGGAGCAAACAGG